AUCCAGUUGACGAGUCCCAAAUAGGACGAAACGUGCGUCCUGAAU
This is a non-coding RNA of Schistosoma rodhaini, 45 nucleotides long. The record is from Rfam. NCBI's taxonomy places the organism in Eukaryota, Metazoa, Platyhelminthes, Trematoda, Strigeidida, Schistosomatidae.